GACGAACGCUGGCGGCGUGCUUAAUACAUGCAAGUCGAACGGAAAGGCGCUGCUCUUGUGGGGUGCUCGAGUGGCGAACGGGUGAGUAACACGCGAGUAACAUGCCCUUGACUUAGGGAUAACUCCAGGAAACUGGGGCUCAUACCGGGUAGGAGCUCCUGCUGCAUGGUGGGGGUUGGAAAGAUUCGGCGGUUGGGGAUGGACUCGCGGGUUAUCAGCUUGAUGGUGGGGUAGUGGCGUACCAAGGCUUUGACGGGUAGCCGGCCUGGGAGGGUGACCGGCCACAUUGGGACUGAGAUACGGCCCAGACGCCUACGGGAGGCAGCAGUGGGGAAUAUUGCACAGUGGGCGGAAGCCUGAUGCAGCAACGCCGCGUGCGGGAUGAUGGCCUUCGGGUUGUAAACCGCUUUCGCCUGUGACGAAGCGUGAGUGACGGUAAUGGGUAAAGAAGCACCGGCUAACUACGUG
RNAcentral lists this ribosomal RNA (468 nucleotides) under uncultured bacterium. RNAcentral's name for it is "partial 16S ribosomal RNA". It matches the Rfam family "Bacterial small subunit ribosomal RNA", at positions 28 to 507 of the family's 1533-position model. The record is from RNAcentral.